This 254-nucleotide ribosomal RNA is filed under the name uncultured bacterium. RNAcentral's name for it is "partial 16S ribosomal RNA". It matches the Rfam family "Bacterial small subunit ribosomal RNA", at positions 524 to 776 of the family's 1533-position model. The record is from RNAcentral.
CACGUAGGGGGCGAGCGUUGUCCGGAUUUAGUGGGCGUAAAGAGCUCGUAGGCGGUUCGGCAAGUCGGGUGUGAAAUUUCGAGGCUCAACCUCGAAACGCCACUCGAUACUGCUGUGACUGGAGUCCGGUAGAGGAGUGCGGAAUUCCUGGUGUAGCGGUGAAAUGCGCAGAUAUCAGGAGGAACACCAACGGCGAAGGCAGCACUCUGGGCCGGUACUGACGCUGAGGAGCGAAAGCGUGGGGAGCAAACAGG